CCAGACUCCUACGGGAGGCAGCAGUGGGGAAUAUUGGGCAAUGGGCGCAAGCCUGACCCAGCAACGCCGCGUGAAGGAAGAAGGCUUUCGGGUUGUAAACUUCUUUUAAGGGGGAAGAGCAGAAGACGGUACCCCUUGAAUAAGCCACGGCUAACUACGUGCCAGCAGCCGCGGUAAUACGGAGGAUGCGAGCGUUAUCCGGAUUUAUUGGGUUUAAAGGGUGCGCAGGCGGCGUGUCAAGCAAGCGGUAAAAUAGCGGGGCUCAACCCCGUCGAGCCGUUUGAACUGGCGCGCUUGAGUUCAGGCGAGGUAGGCGGAAUUCGUGGUGUAGCGGUGAAAUGCAUAGAUAUCACGAAGAACUCCGAUUGCGAAGGCAGCUUACCAGGCUGCGACUGACGCUCAGGCACGAAAGUGUGGGUAUCGAACAGGAUUAGAUACCCCUGUAC
This 446-nucleotide ribosomal RNA is filed under the name uncultured bacterium. Its description in RNAcentral is "bacterial SSU rRNA". It matches the Rfam family "Bacterial small subunit ribosomal RNA", at positions 331 to 793 of the family's 1533-position model. The record is from RNAcentral.